This 478-nucleotide unclassified non-coding RNA is filed under the name Bartonella chomelii. RNAcentral describes it as "partial 16S-23S ribosomal RNA intergenic spacer". The stretch from base 230 to 303 matches the Rfam family "tRNA". The record is from RNAcentral. Lineage: Bacteria; Pseudomonadati; Pseudomonadota; Alphaproteobacteria; Hyphomicrobiales; Bartonellaceae.
CUUCAGAUGAUGAUCCCAAGCCUUCUGGCGUUCUGUUCAUCAAAUUUCAAAAGCGUUUAAGAAACAGGUAAAAAGCGUUUAAGAAACGUUCGAGUGCAUUUAAGAAACAUAUAAAGAAGGUGGUUAAGAAACAGGUAAAAGGUGUUUAAGAAACAUAUCUGUUUCUUAAACAUAUCUUUUUGUUUUCUUUUGUUUGUCCCGAGGAAGGUUUUUACCGAUUUACUCCUGAGGGCUUGUAGCUCAGUUGGUUAGAGCGCGCGCUUGAUAAGCGUGAGGUCGGAGGUUCAAGUCCUCCCAGGCCCACCAAUUUAUGAUUGCUGAUAAGUUUGCUGAUAAGUUUUUUGCGAAUGUUUUGAUGGUCUUUUAUCUUACGAUCUUUCACUUUUAUGUUGCAAUCUUUCAAAAGUAUUUGAACUGUUUUAGGGGCCGUAGCUCAGCUGGGAGAGCACCUUCUUUGCAAGCAGGGGGUCGUCGGUUC